GAUGAACGCUAGCGACAGGCUUAACACAUGCAAGUCGAGGGGCAGCACAGGUAGCAAUACCGGGUGGCGACCGGCGCACGGGUGAGUAACGCGUAUGCAACUUACCUAUCAGAGGGGGAUAACCCGGCGAAAGUCGGACUAAUACCGCAUGAAGCAGGGGUCCCGCAUGGGGAUAUUUGCUAAAGAUUCAUCGCUGAUAGAUAGGCAUGCGUUCCAUUAGGCAGUUGGCGGGGUAACGGCCCACCAAACCGACGAUGGAUAGGGGUUCUGAGAGGAAGGUCCCCCACAUUGGUACUGAGACACGGACCAAACUCCUACGGGAGGCAGCAGUGAGGAAUAUUGGUCAAUGGCCGAGAGGCUGAACCAGCCAAGUCGCGUGAGGGAUGAAGGUUCUAUGGAUCGUAAACCUCUUUUAUAAGGGAAUAAAGUGCGGGACGUGUCCCGUUUUGUAUGGACCUUAUGAAGAAGGAGCGGCGAACUCCGU
RNAcentral lists this ribosomal RNA (484 nucleotides) under uncultured bacterium. RNAcentral describes it as "partial 16S ribosomal RNA". It matches the Rfam family "Bacterial small subunit ribosomal RNA", at positions 28 to 506 of the family's 1533-position model. The record is from RNAcentral.